Molecule: non-coding RNA, 97 nt
Filed under: Paracidovorax citrulli
Lineage: Bacteria; Pseudomonadati; Pseudomonadota; Betaproteobacteria; Burkholderiales; Comamonadaceae
Description: Acidovorax citrulli SAH sequence
Rfam family: SAH (S-adenosyl-L-homocysteine) riboswitch aptamer
Source: RNAcentral
CCUACCGAGGAGCGUUGCAGCGCCCUGAUUCCCUGUCGCCCAGGGGGCAGCAGGACGCGAGGCUCGGGUCAUCAUUUUGCAACGACGCUCGCCCACG